UAAAUGACUCUCUCUCGCCGAUAGAUAUGCUCUCGCUCCGAUCGAGGAAGUACGUAAAGAAAUUCCUUGGUGGGAAUUAAUGACUCCCUCCCACCAUCCAUUCUUUCUUCGCAAGCAACCCCCGACCCCAUUCGUUAGGGGGCGGGCCCGCCUGGGCGUGCCUCUCUCG
This 169-nucleotide ribosomal RNA is filed under the name Camellia sinensis var. sinensis. Its description in RNAcentral is "5.8S ribosomal RNA". The record is from RNAcentral. Lineage: Eukaryota; Viridiplantae; Streptophyta; Magnoliopsida; Ericales; Theaceae.